UCGAACGCAGUAGCAAUACUGAGUGGCAAACGGGUGAGUAUAAUGUGGGAAUCUGCCUUUUGGUUUGGAAUAACACGGGGAAACUUGUGCUAAUACCGAAUAAGCCCUUACGGGGAAAGUUUUAACGCCGAAAGAUGAGCCUGCACUUGAUUAGCUAGUUGGUAAGGUAAAAGCUUACCAAGGCAACGAUCAAUAGCUGUUCUUAGAGGAAGACCAGCCACAUUGGGACUGAGACACGGCCCAGACUCCUACGGGAGGCAGCAGUGGGGAAUCUUGCACAAUGGGGGAAACCCUGAUGCAGCGAUGCCGCGUGAGUGAAGAAGGCCUUUGGGUUGUAAAACUCUUUCGUCGGGGAAGAAAAUGACUGUACCCGAAUAAGAAGGUCCGGCUAACUUCGUGCCAGCAGCCGCGGUAAUACGAAGGGACCUAGCGUAGUUCGGAAUUACUGGGCUUAAAGAGCUCGUAGGUGGUUAAAAAAGUUGAUGGUGAAAUCCCAAGGCUUAACCUUGGAACUGCCAUCAAAACUUUUUAGCUAGAGUGUGAUAGAGGUAAGUGGAAUUUCUAGUGUAGAGGUGAAAUUCGUAGAUAUUAGGAAGAACACCGGUGGCGAAGGCGCUCUACUGGAUCAUUACUGACACUCAGAGGCGAAAGCUAGGGUAGCAAAAGGGAUUAGAU
Molecule: ribosomal RNA, 675 nt
Filed under: uncultured bacterium
Lineage: Bacteria
Description: bacterial SSU rRNA
Rfam family: Bacterial small subunit ribosomal RNA
Source: RNAcentral